GACGUAGGUGGCAAGCGUUGUCCGGAUUUACUGGGCGUAAAGAGCGCGCAGGCGGUCGGCCAAGUCGGAUGUGAAAGCCCCCGGCCCAACUGGGGAGGGUCAUUCGAUACUGGUCGACUCGAAGGCAGGAGAGGGAAGCGGAAUUCCCGGUGUAGUGGUGUAAUGCGUAGAUAUCGGGAGGAACACCAGUGGCGAAGGCGGCUUCCUGGCCUGUUCUUGACGCUGAGGCGCGAAAGCUAGGGGAGCGAACGGG
Molecule: ribosomal RNA, 253 nt
Filed under: uncultured Acidobacteriota bacterium
Lineage: Bacteria; Pseudomonadati; Acidobacteriota
Description: uncultured Acidobacteria bacterium partial 16S ribosomal RNA
Rfam family: Bacterial small subunit ribosomal RNA
Source: RNAcentral